CUGGUCGUGUACAAUGUAGCGCAGGCGGGAGGCUGGGCUUUGCUACUCGCGCGGCUGCUCUUGGCGCCAGGAGAGGUGAAAACGGGAGAAAUUCGCCUCGCAUGUAAAACUUUCUGUCGAAAUUUCGGCUCUCGAUUCCAUUUCUCAAUCCCUACGUUUCUGGCUGUGAAGAUUACCUCCAGUUCUUUGCGCUGUUAGAAGUGAUACAUUCUUUGCUCGCGUUGCUGCAAUGGGGUGGGAGAUUUCACGUCAUCG
Long non-coding RNA from Selaginella moellendorffii, 255 nucleotides. RefSeq lists it as uncharacterized. The transcript has 3 exons. The record is from RefSeq and is a predicted model, not a curated record. Lineage: Eukaryota; Viridiplantae; Streptophyta; Lycopodiopsida; Selaginellales; Selaginellaceae.